CCGGAGGCCGUCUUUUGCUCUUCGCGGGUGGCAGUGGGUCUGCCAACUUGCGGAUCCCCUCAGGAUGGGGACACCCUCCCGCAGUUACUUCCCUGGGAUUGAGUGUACGUUGGCUGCUCAGGCAACGCGUGGUGAGAGAGAUUUGAGUUGCCUUCUCAUGGGUGGACCCAUUGAUCGCUCGACAUCCUAUCUUUAUUUCCUUUCCUGUCCUUCCCAGGAGUUGGGGAAGUUGGUGAGUAUUAUCCCAGCUCCAUUCAUUUUCUGAGUAUACUUCAGUUCCAUGCAUGACUAGGGUUAAGAGGUUUACGUUUUUAGCAGAAUUUAAUCCCAUACUUCCGGUAUACUUAACACGGGCCUGUGUAGGGAACGGCGAUCGGAAGAUCUCGCGAUGGCACGGAAAGAGGAAGGAAGAGGAAGGAUAUGACGUAGAGAUAGCAGUAUGCUUGUAGGUAUAUAAGCAAAUACAUGCGUACAAUAAACGCCAUUUGUAGCAUCCUCAUAUUGGUGUCAGUGCUCAUUGGCCCGGAGGCAGGGGGAGCCUCCGUGCCGUCUCAGGCGAACGGGAGAUUGUCGCAUCAGAAGGCGACAAGUGGUGACCCCGACGUGAUAGCUGAGACGGCGGACCGCAGGCGGUCGAGAGGAUCCGGAUCAUGGACGCGGUAGUUAAGGUUGUACGCGUGGGUGCCCGGGAAUGGGGGCUCUCUAUGAGAGCGGAUGCAGUAGCAAACUGCGUCGGGCGGCUCCUGAAAGAUGGAGCGAUAGUUAGACCAGGGGACAUUUUUUCCCCUUCUAACUGGGAGAAGUGCACUCGAGCACUUGCUCAGAGAGCUAUGGCCACUAAGAAGGCCGCAGAGCUUAAGACGUGGGGAGAUAUAACGAUCAUUUUAGAAAGGACUAGGGAGGAGCUUGAGACCUGGCAGGCUGCCCGCGCGGCGCUACACAUGUCCGCGGAAAUGGCGACACAGACAGCAGCAAACGCAGAGGAGCGAACGGAGGCGAUAGAGGAAGAGACGAUAGUAGGGGAUGAAGUGAAAACGGAGAGUGUGGAAACAGACAUAAAGGAGGAGGCGGUUAAUCAAGAACCAGAGCGGGGAGAGGGGGAGGCAAAAACUCCAGAGGCUUACCCAAUAACGCCCUCUUCUCCGCCACCGCCGCGGUAUCCGUGGAAAGAGAUGAGGGCGAUGGAAGGGGGAGAACUAGGAGAACCAGGAGACCUUUGUGGAGACCGAGAUAUGAAAAAGCCAGAGGCGGGUAGAGGAAAAGAAA
Molecule: long non-coding RNA, 1266 nt
Organism: Dromaius novaehollandiae (emu)
Lineage: Eukaryota; Metazoa; Chordata; Aves; Casuariiformes; Dromaiidae
Exons: 2
Source: RefSeq, a predicted model, not a curated record